AUGGGGAACUGCCAGGCGGCGGACGCGGCGGCCGUGGUGAUCCAGCACCCGGGCGACGGCAAGGUGGAGCGCCUCCACUGGCCGGCCACCGCGGCGGACGUCAUGCGCAGGAACCCCGGCCACUACGUCGCCCUCGUCGUCCUCCAUCACGUCUCUGGCGGCGGCGUUGACCCCGACCCCGCCGUCGCCGGAGAAGGAGCAGGUGCCAGGAUAACCAAGGUGAAGCUCCUCAAGCCCCGGGACACGCUCCACCUCGGCCAGGUCUACCGCCUCAUCACCUCCCAAGAGGUGACCAAGGCCGUGCAGACGAGGAGGCAGGAGAGGACGCGCGGCUUCGACGAGGCGACCGAGCAGGAGCGGCCGCGGCUGCACCGGCGGCGGCAACCGCCGAGGCCGAGGAGCGACAACGCAGCCACGGAAACCAACGGAGAACAGAGGCAGCCCGCCGAUCAUCAGGAACGGAAGCGGCUGGAGAAGGACCGGCACCACCGGAGCAUCGCGGCCGCCCGCGGCAGAGGCCGCCACUGGCGGCCGGCGCUGCAGAGCAUCAUAGAGUCGUCGUCGUCGUCGGGCGGACACGCCGACUGCGAGGAUAUACUAUCUAAAUGA
Molecule: ribosomal RNA, 609 nt
Filed under: Triticum aestivum (bread wheat)
Lineage: Eukaryota; Viridiplantae; Streptophyta; Magnoliopsida; Poales; Poaceae
Description: partial small subunit ribosomal RNA
Source: RNAcentral